UUUCCGUAGGUGAACCUGCGGAAGGAUCAUUACCGGCUUUCCUUUCAGGAAUUCCACCCUUGGCUAUUGGCAGUUGCUUCGGCGAGACGCCUCGGCCAUUGCGGGAGAUGCGCCUUCGGGUGGCAUGUCUGGCAAUGCGAGCUCGCCGGAGACUCAUACUCUUGAUUAUGUAUCGUCAGAGAAACAAGCAAUAAAUAAAAACUUUCAACAACGGAUCUCUUGGUUUUU
RNAcentral lists this unclassified non-coding RNA (228 nucleotides) under plant metagenome. Its description in RNAcentral is "partial contains small subunit ribosomal RNA, internal transcribed spacer 1, and 5.8S ribosomal RNA". The record is from RNAcentral.